GAUGAAGAACGUAGCGAAAUGCGAUAAGUAAUGUGAAUUGCAGAAUUCAGUGAAUCAUCGAAUCUUUGAACGCACAUUGCGCCCGUCAGUAUUCUGGCGGGCAUGCCUGUUCGAGCGUCAUACGCCCCUCAAGUCCCCUGUGGACUUGGUGUUGGGGAUCGGCGAGGCUGGUUUUCCAGCACAGCCGUCCCUUAAAUUAAUUGGCGGUCUCGCCGUGGCCCUCCUCUGCGCAGUAGUAAAACACUCGCAACAGGAGCCCGGCGCGGUCCACUGCCGUAAAACCCCCCAACUUUUUAUAGUUGACCUCGAAUCAGGUAGGACUACCCGCUGAACUUAAGCAUAUCAAUAAGCGGAGGA
RNAcentral lists this unclassified non-coding RNA (357 nucleotides) under soil metagenome. Its description in RNAcentral is "partial contains 5.8S ribosomal RNA, internal transcribed spacer 2, and large subunit ribosomal RNA". The stretch from base 1 to 120 matches the Rfam family "5.8S ribosomal RNA", at positions 35 to 154 of the family's 154-position model. The record is from RNAcentral.